UACAGAGGUCUCAAGCGUUGUUCGGAUUCAUUGGGCGUAAAGGGUGCGUAGGCGGCGCGGUAAGUCGGGUGUGAAAUCUUGGAGCUUAACUCCGAAACUGCAUUCGAUACUGGCGUGCUUGAGGACUGGAGAGGAGACUGGAAUUCAUGGUGUAGCAGUGAAAUGCGUAGAGAUCAUGAGGAAGACCAGUGGCGAAGGCGAGUCUCUGGACAGUUCCUGACACUGAGACACGAAGGCCAGGGGAGCAAACGGG
This 253-nucleotide ribosomal RNA is filed under the name uncultured bacterium. Its description in RNAcentral is "partial 16S ribosomal RNA". It matches the Rfam family "Bacterial small subunit ribosomal RNA", at positions 524 to 776 of the family's 1533-position model. The record is from RNAcentral.